RNAcentral lists this ribosomal RNA (419 nucleotides) under bacterium. RNAcentral describes it as "partial 16S ribosomal RNA". It matches the Rfam family "Bacterial small subunit ribosomal RNA", at positions 355 to 776 of the family's 1533-position model. The record is from RNAcentral.
UGGGGGAUAUUGCACAAUGGGCGAAAGCCUGAUGCAGCGACGCCGCGUGGGGGAUGAAGGCCUUCGGGUUGUAAACUUCUUUUGCUCUGAACAAGGCGCACCAUGGGGUGUGUUGAGUGUAGGGGUUGAUUAGCGCCGGCUAACUACGUGCCAGCAGCCGCGGUAAUACGUAGGGCGCGAGCGUUGUCCGGAAUUAUUGGGCGUAAAGGGCUUGUAGGUGGCUGGUUGCGUCUGUCGUGAAAGCUCAUGGCUUAACUGUGGGUUUGCGGUGGGUACGGGCUGGCUUGAGUGCAGUAGGGGAGGCUGGAAUUCCAGGUGUAGCGGUGGAAUGCGCAGAUAUCAGGAGGAAUACCGGUGGCGAAGGCGGGUCUCUGGGCUGUUACUGACACUGAGGAGCGAAAGCAUGGGGAGCGAACAGG